AUUGAACGCUGGCGGCAUGCUUUACACAUGCAAGUCGAACGGCAGCGCGGGCUUCGGCCUGGCGGCGAGUUGCGAACGGGUGAGUAAUGCAUCGGAACGUGCCCAGUAGUUGGGGAUAGCCCGGCGAAAGCCGGAUUAAUACCGCAUACGACCUGAUGUUGAAAGCGGGGGACCGAAAGUCCUCGCGCGAUUUGAGCGGCCCAUGUCGGAUUAGCUAGUUGGUGGGGUAACGGCUUACCAAGGCGACGAUCCGUAGCUGGUCUGAGAGGACGACCAGCCACACUGGGACUGAGACACGGCCCAGACUCCUACGGGAGGCAGCAGUGGGGAAUUUUGGACAAUGGGGGCAACCCUGAUCCAGCCAUGCCGCGUGAGGGAAGAAGGCCUUCGGGUUGUAAAACGCUUUUGUUCGGGAAGAAAUACUCUGGGCUAAUACCCCGGGGGGAUGACGGUACCGGAAGAAUAAGCACCGGCUAACUACGUG
This 484-nucleotide ribosomal RNA is filed under the name uncultured bacterium. RNAcentral describes it as "partial 16S ribosomal RNA". It matches the Rfam family "Bacterial small subunit ribosomal RNA", at positions 29 to 507 of the family's 1533-position model. The record is from RNAcentral.